UACGUAGGGUGCAAGCGUUAAUCGGAAUUACUGGGCGUAAAGCGUGCGCAGGCGGUUUUGUAAGUCUGUCGUGAAAGCCCCCGGCUCAACUGGGGAGGGUCACGCGAUACUGAUCGACUGGAAGGCAGGAGAGGGUAGUGGAAUUCCCGGUGUAGUGGUGAAAUGCGUAGAUAUCGGGAGGAACACCAGUGGCGAAGGCGACUACCUGGCCUGUUCUUGACGCUGAGGCGCGAAAGCUAGGGGAGCAAACGGG
This 253-nucleotide ribosomal RNA is filed under the name uncultured bacterium. RNAcentral describes it as "partial 16S ribosomal RNA". It matches the Rfam family "Bacterial small subunit ribosomal RNA", at positions 524 to 776 of the family's 1533-position model. The record is from RNAcentral.